AUAGCAGAAUUCAGUGAAUCAUCGAUUCUUUGAACGCACCUUGCGCCCUUUGGCUAUUCUGAAGGGCAUGCCUGUUUGAGUAUCAUG
This 87-nucleotide ribosomal RNA is filed under the name uncultured fungus. RNAcentral's name for it is "partial 5.8S ribosomal RNA". It matches the Rfam family "5.8S ribosomal RNA", at positions 71 to 154 of the family's 154-position model. Rfam says of the family: 5.8S ribosomal RNA (5.8S rRNA) is a component of the large subunit of the eukaryotic ribosome. It is transcribed by RNA polymerase I as part of the 45S precursor that also contains 18S and 28S rRNA. Lineage: Eukaryota; Fungi. The record is from RNAcentral.